UGGGAAACUGGGUCUAAUACCGGAGGGGACCGCACCGUGAGGGUGUGGUGGAAAGUUUUUCGGUGUGGGAUGGGCCCGCGGCGUAUCAGCUUGUUGGUGGGGUAGUGGCCUACCAAGGCGGCGACGGGUAGCCGGCCUGAGAGGGUGGACGGCCACAUUGGGACGGAGACACGGCCCAGACUCCUAGGGGAGGCAGCAGUGGGGAAUAUUGCUCAAAAGGGGGAAGCCUGAUGCAGCGACGCCGCGUGGGGGAUU
Molecule: ribosomal RNA, 255 nt
Filed under: uncultured bacterium
Lineage: Bacteria
Description: partial 16S ribosomal RNA
Rfam family: Bacterial small subunit ribosomal RNA
Source: RNAcentral